UUUUUUGUUGUUAUCUGAUUGCUGAGGCUAGGACUUCUAGUACUAUGUUGAAUAGUAGUGGUGAGAGUGGAUAUCCCUGUCAUGUUUCUGAUCUUAGGGGAAAGGCUCUCAGUUUUUCCCCAUUGAGAAUCAUAUUUGCUGUUAUAACCAUUAUUUUGUAUGAUUUUCACUAAACCCUUCCCUAUCCCAUACUCAUGCAUUAGUUAGUAAAUAAGAUUUUUUGUUGUUGUUUUAUUUUAUACAUAAGAAACUAGAGCUCAAAAUGCAUACUUGGCUUUUUCAAAGUUACGCAUUUGAGGGGAUGGAGUCCAAACUUGCAUUUGAAACUUCUUUUCCUCAAUCGAAGUCCAUCCUCUUAGAUCAUCUAUUUUUUCCAACAUCAUCUAUCAUCUAUAUUUACAAUCUACUGUGGGAAAAUGACUUAAAUAGAGUUGCUAUAAUGGGCAUAAUGAAUAUGUACAUUAAGAGAGGUUCAAAGUGGAGUCUUACCUAGCUAAAAUGAACAGAGAUUCACAGCCAAAAUACUGCAUUGGAUAAAGGCUUUGGUGUGGAGUCAGGUAGACUGGGAUUCGAUCUUAGCUCCUUCACCUACUAGGUAUUUAUACUUAAGCAAGUUUCUUAACUACUCUGAAUCUUGGUUUCCUCAUCAAAAAAAGUGUUAAUAAUAGAUACAACCUGCAGGAAGUUUGCAAGAAUAAAAUUCUAGCAUGUAGUGAAACAUUUAUGACACUGUUGGGCACAAGAACAUUCCUAGUAUUUUUUUCAGCCAUAAUUGUCAUAUUAUGAUUAUACUGGAAAGUGAUAUGGAAAGAAUGGCCAGGAAAUAGCCUUUAAAUGUGCCAGGAAAGCAAACAGAAUUUGUACAUCACCAUCAUCCUCAUCAUCAUCAUCAUCAUCAUAUCUAGCAUUCAUUAAGUGCAAAUUGUGAGCAUUUUAAUAAAUUAUCCUAAUUGAUCCUCACAAUUAUUUGAUUUACAGCAAAAAGUAUGAUAUUUUCCUGAUUUCAUAGGUUAGAAAAUUGAAGAAUGAAAAUAGUAAGUAAUUUUCCUAAGGACUGUGGCAAGAAAAUAAUUGGUUUACCUGGAAAAUAAGGGGCAAUACAUGCUGUUGAUCUUUCCAAUAAUAUUUUCAUCUUAACUAGACAUUUUGAAUAAGAUAAGGUCUUAAUCCAAAGAAGUUAUUAAUGAUGAUUUUUGUGGCUCUUAAAGAUGAGGGUGAGAAAUAUGAAGGUGGUCAUGAAGAGUAUCCCUAAAAUGUUCAUCCUUUUAUUCGUUCAUUUGACACAUUGUUUAACUGCCUAUUUUGUACAGGUUUCAUGUUUUCUACCUGGCUUAGAGUAUUAAACCCUCUUUUCUCCUCCUAUUUAUCUUAAAUAGUUUCAAGUGUAAAUAAAUAUUACAAAAGUAGUACAGUGAACAACCACAUUCUUUUCACUUAGACUCAACCAUUGUUUUUGCUACAUUUGUUUUUACUGUAUAUGUAAGUACAUUUGUGUGUGUGUGUGUGUACAUUCAUACACAUUUGUACAUACAUACAUCACUUUUUUGGCCCACCAUUUUAGAGUUAAUACCUGACAUUAAGAAACUUUGCCUCCAAAUACUUCAGCAUAUAUUUCCAUAGAACAAGGAGGCUCUGUAUAACCACAAUACAGUGAUCAUAUUCAGAAAAUUUAACAUUAAUACACUUUCAUUAAUUAAUGUACCUUCAAUAUUUAAAUUUAUCUAAUUUUCUCAAUAAUGUAAUUUAUAGCUUUUCUCUCUCUUUUUAAUUUAUUUAUUCAUGAGACACACAGAGAGAGGCAGAGACAUAGGCACAGCGAGAAGCCAGCUCCUGUGGGGAGCCUGAUGUGGGGAGACUCAAUCCCAGGACCCCAGGAUCAUGACCUGAGCCAAAGGCAGAAGCUCAACCACUGAGCCACCCAGAUGCCCCUAUAGCUUUUUUCCUAAUGCAAGCUUCAAUCACAAAUCACAGUGGAUUUGGUCAUCAUGUCAGUAUUCUCCUUCAAUGUUAAAGUUCAUCGAACUUUUUUUGUUUUUUAACUUUUAGACUCCAUUUAUUUUGCAGAAUAUACCUCUAUAUGACUUGCUUAUUUUGCCAUGAUUAGAUUCAGGUUAAGCAUUUUUUCCUGAACAUUACAUAAGUAAUAUCUGUCCUCAUUGCAUCACACUGGGAAGCUCAUGAUGCCAACUUGUUCAAUCUCUUUAUCUCUAAGAAAGAGCUUGAAAUUCUGAAGGGAACAAUACAACCCCAAUUCCUGGCACUGUCUCUACUUGCAACACACAUUUCAAAGUCCUGUAUUAGAAAUCUGAAAGUAACUGUAAUGAUGGUGCCACUGCAUUCAUUCAACUGAAAUUCAUUAUGUACAUUCAAUCAUUCAUUUGUGAAUGGAUGGCUCCUUUAUGAAAUGGUGAAAAUCAUUUUUCAUAAAUUAAGGACUUUUACAUGCAAGACUGGAGUUUAUAACUGUAUGGGAGUUUUGACUUAUUACUCAAUUAUAGUAUUCCCAAAGUAGAUUUGGGUGGGGGGAUAGCUUUGAAAAUUAAAAACACUAAGUUUAGAAUGAAUAAGAGGAAAUAUCACUUUCUACAUCAGCUACAAUCUUAUAAAAUAUAUUACUUUAAUUGAGUUAUUAUAGACCAACUUCUUGGCUGAGUUGACUUAUUUUAAAAUGAAAAAGAUGACUAGAUGAUUUGUAAGUUCUCUUCUCUUUCAACAUUCAGUUUCUGGCUAAAUUUGUUAACAUUUUAAGUUGUGAUUUAGGUAAAUUCACUGACGACAGAUUUGUAAGGGGUUAUUAAGGGUAACUGGGAUGUUUGGAAAUUUCCCCAAUGUCUUAAUUAGACAUUAUAAAAGAAUCACCACAGCAAUCUCAAUGGUACCACUUACUUUGACCUGCUUCUGUUCACUUCAUAAUCUAUUGUGGAUUAUUAUGGCUUUCCAGCACCUGACUCAUUUCCCAUAUCUGACUACACUUUAUCCUUCUUUUUACUCUUUUGCCAACUUAUUCUUUGGCUUUUGAUCCCUACCAUAUUUCAAAUUUACUCUUUAAUUUGCUGCUAUUGGCUGAUGUAGUUAAAUGUUUCACCUAAUUAGCCUGGUCCAGGGUCAUACAGAACCUCAUAAAUGGGGAUGUUGGUAGUGGCGCUUAGCUAUAAGGUGGGCCCCAGACAAGAAGACCAGUUUGAUCUAAUAUGCUAAUCUAUAUGUUCUUAAUUGUUAAACAGAGAUGCAGACAUGUUGACCUUUUCAGUUCUAGCAUCACAUUCUAUGUGAUUCACUUCCACUUCGUAGUAGAUCUGUGGGAAAACUGAAAGCAGAAGUAAUGUAAAAUGUUGGUUUUACAUGAAAAUCAUUUUUAUGAAAAAAAGGAGAUUGAUAAUUUUAAGUUAUACUGGAUUUGAAAACAGGAUGUAGAGAUCCUUUUGCUGAAUGUGUUUAACUGAUAAGAUAUAUUCGUUCACUUACUCAUUUGUGAUAUUAUAAUAAUAAAGAGAACAGAUUCUGAAUAUGGACUGCCACUUACCACCAGGGUAAGUCAUUUGACCUCUAUGUGUCUCAGUUUCAUUAUCUACAAAAAUGGGAAUAACAACGGCAGCUACCAAAGGAUUGAUGAGAAUUAAUCAGUUAAUGUAUAUGAAAACCUAUAGAACACUAUUUGGCACAUAGCAAGUGCCACAUAUAUAUUAACUAUUAUUACCAAUCUAUAGUCUUUGGUCUCCUAUUAUAUGUCUAACAUAAUAUAAAGAAUCCCAUACACAUUCUUGGAGUCAAAGAAUAAUUCAAAGUAAUAUUUGACAUCUAACAGCAGAGGAGAUGAGGGGUUUGAGGUUUACCCAUGGGAUUUCUUCCUAUUAUCAUCAUCAUUGUCAUAGUGACUACAUUUAUUGAGUGUUUGUGCCUGGCACUCUUAGGUGUCUUUCAUACUUUUUCUUAUUUUGGUUUUUACUUUUACAGAAAGGUUAACUCUCUGCUAAAGGCCAUAUAGCUUGAAAAUGGUAGAUUCAAGAUCAAACUGAAGCAGCCUGACUCUAAUAUUCCAUGAUAUUAAUAACACUGGACAUCUAUAAACUAUAUCGAGACAUGGCACGAAGUGCCUUCAUUCAAUACACACACACAUGUACUGAGAACACAGUACAUACGCGGUGGACAGAGACAAAUCAGACCCCUGUCGUCAGAUAACUCCUGCUAUCAAAGAGAUCAGAUUUCAUGUUGAGGAUACAAAAAUGAAAAUGACAAAGUGUAGAGUGUGCUAUGACAGUGAUGUUCCCAGGGCAAGCUCCAGAAAUGGCCUCUCAAUCUGAGGGAAAAUUGAGGAGGCAUGAGAAAUGAAGAGAGGGCUCGGCAGUGUCAAGGAUGGAGAGGCAGCAGGUGAAUAGGUGUGGAACAGGCAUCUGAAGGAGAAAGACAACAUGUGAGAAGAGAUUUGAUGUGUGUGGGGAACUAUGGGACUUUGCGGCUGGAGGAGAUUGAGGGUCUAGGAGAUAUGGAACUAAGAGGAAAACAGGGCAUGACCAGGAAACCUCUGUCUGCUAAUGUGAAGAGCUUAACAUUGAACAAGAAGACUUGGGGAUUGUUUGAAAACAUUUAACCAGGAAGAAAACAGGAUCAAAUUUGCUUAACAAAGAUCAUUGCACAAAAAGUAUUAAGGGUUUUUUUUUUUUAAUCAUGUCUUUAAAUUAAUGGCAUGUUUUAUUGAAAUCUGUCUGUAUUAAGUUCUUCUUGUUUUUGUGGGUUUACACUAAUGAAUUUCAGUAGGUGGUAUUAUUAAUAUUACUCACUAUUCCUACCUACCAGUUUCUUAAUUCCUUAGGUUUAUAGCAUGCUUUCAACUCCAUUAUCUCCCAUAACUGCUAUAACUGCCUUUUAAAAAAAAUGAUUAUUUCCCAUUUGCAGAUGAAGAAACUGAGGCUGAGUGAUGUUAGCUUUCACAGAAUUGCCUACCUCAGAACUACAACCCUGGGAAUAAAUCUGAGCAAGGAAGCCUCAAACGGAUGCCACGUGAUUACCCUCUUUGGCUCUGCGGUGAACUGCAAGGGACCUCCACCCUUGAAAUACCCAUGCAAUUCGGACAUCCCACUAUAGCACCAGGGUCAGUUCCAACCCAGCUACUUAGGACAGCGGUUCUGCUCUAACAAACUGUUAUAAACUGGGUGGUUUAAACAUUCAUGCCUCAUAGUUCUGGAGGCUGGGAGGUUCAAUAUCAAGGUGCUGGCCGAUUUAGGGUUUGGUGAAAGCCUGCUUCCUGGUUCACAAGUAGCCAUCUUUUCCCUGUGUCCAAACCUGGAGGAAGGGGUGAGGGAUAUCUUAAGAGCCUCGUUUCUAAGGACACUAAUUCCAUUCACAAGGGCUCCAUGCUCAUAACCUAAUCACCCUCCCAAAGGCCCUACCUUCAAAUAUCACCACACUGGGGAUUAGAUUUCAAUAUAUAAAAUUUGGAGGACACAGGACACAGGCAUCCAGUCCAUAACACUACCCAAUGACCAUUUUCUGUCUUCCUGGAUAGCAAACCUUAUCUGUCUCCUGGCAGCAGUUGUGGCCAAUGACAUGUAGACAGAAUCCUUCUGGUGACCCUUUGGAAAAGAUUUUUCUCUGAAGAGAGAGUAGUAUGAGCUAAUGGUCCCUUUGCUUCCUCCCUAUCUUGUAUGCUCUUGUGUGGCAAUGUCAUAUUUGAAGGCAGGUAGGAUCUUAUGAGCAAUAAGGGAUCUUUUUAAAUUUUGUUUAGAUUCUAUUUAUUUAUUUGACUGAGAGAGAGAGAGAGAGAGAGAAUGAGAGAGAGAAAGAGAGCACAAGAAGCAGGGGGAACAGGAAAGAGAGAAGCUCCAACUUGGGGCUCGGUCCCAGGACCCUGAGAUCAUGACCUGAGUGUAAGACAGAUGCUUGACUGACUAAGCCACCCACGCAACCCGAAAAGAGAUCUUUUGAGAACAAAAAAAACCCCAACAUACUGAGGAUGGUGUAAGGGGAGGAUGCAGG
RNAcentral lists this long non-coding RNA (5973 nucleotides) under Canis lupus familiaris (dog). RNAcentral describes it as "lncRNA (ENSCAFG00845006214.1)". The record is from RNAcentral. Lineage: Eukaryota; Metazoa; Chordata; Mammalia; Carnivora; Canidae.